This 253-nucleotide ribosomal RNA is filed under the name uncultured bacterium. RNAcentral describes it as "partial 16S ribosomal RNA". It matches the Rfam family "Bacterial small subunit ribosomal RNA", at positions 524 to 776 of the family's 1533-position model. The record is from RNAcentral.
UACGGAGGGGGCGAGCGUUAUUCGGAAUUAUUGGGCGUAAAGGGCGCGUAGGCGGCCCGGUAAGUCAAAGGUGAAAUCCCUCGGCUCAACUGAGGAACUGCCUUUGAAACUGUCGGGCUUGAGGCCGGGAGGGGGUAGCGGAAUUCCCGGUGUAGCGGUGAAAUGCGUAGAUAUCGAGAGGAACACCUGCGGCGAAGGCGGGUAGCUGGGCCGACACUGACGCUGAGGCGCGAAAGCCAGGGGAGCGAACGGG